Molecule: ribosomal RNA, 468 nt
Filed under: uncultured Actinomycetes bacterium
Lineage: Bacteria; Bacillati; Actinomycetota; Actinomycetes
Description: bacterial SSU rRNA
Rfam family: Bacterial small subunit ribosomal RNA
Source: RNAcentral
GAUGAACGCUGGCGGCGUGCUUAACACAUGCAAGUCGAACGAUGAAGCUCCAGCUUGCUGGAGUGGAUUAGUGGCGAACGGGUGAGUAACACGUGAGCAACCUGCCCCGGACUUUGGGAUAACAGUUGGAAACAGCUGCUAAUACCGAAUACGCACCAGAACGGCAUCGUUACUGGUGGGAAAGAUUUUUCGGUCCGGGAGGGGCUCGCGGCCUAUCAGCUUGUUGGUGAGGUAACGGCUCACCAAGGCGUCGACGGGUAGCCGGCCUGAGAGGGUGACCGGCCACACUGGGACUGAGACACGGCCCAGACUCCUACGGGAGGCAGCAGUGGGGAAUAUUGCACAAUGGGCGCAAGCCUGAUGCAGCAACGCCGCGUGAGGGAUGACGGCCUUCGGGUUGUAAACCUCUUUUAGUUGGGAAGAAGCCUUCGGGUGACGGUACCUUCAGAAAAAGCGCCGGCUAACUAC